CUGGCGGCGUGCCUAACACAUGCAAGUCGAACGAGAAAGCGGGGGCAACUCCGCGAGUAAAGUGGCGACCGGGUGAGUAACACGUGACUAACCUACCCUCGAGCGGGGGAUAACCCCGGGAAACCGGGGCUAAUACCGCAUAACAUCCUCGAUACGAAAGUCUUGAGGAUCAAAGGAGCAAUUCACUUGAGGAGGGGGUCGCGGCCGAUUAGCUAGUUGGUGGGGUAAUGGCCCACCAAGGCUGAGAUCGGUAGCCGGCCUGAGAGGGCGCACGGCCACACUGGAACUGAAACACGGUCCAGACUCCUACGGGAGGCAGCAGUGGGGAAUUUUGCGCAAUGGGGGGAACCCUGACGCAGCAACGCCGCGUGGAGGAUGAAGUCCCUUGGGACGUAAACUCCUUUCGACCGGGAAGAUAAUGACGGUACCGGAAGAAGAAGCACCGGCUAACUCUGUGCCAGCAGCCGCGGUAAUACAGAGGGUGCGAGCGUUGUUCGGAAUUAUUGGGCGUAAAGGGCGCGUANGCGGUGCGGUAAGUCACCUGUGAAAUCUCCUGGCUUAACUGGGAGCUUGCAGGCGAAACUGCCGUGCUGGAGUGUGGGAGAGGUGCGUGGAAUUCCCGGUGUA
Molecule: ribosomal RNA, 627 nt
Filed under: uncultured bacterium
Lineage: Bacteria
Description: bacterial SSU rRNA
Rfam family: Bacterial small subunit ribosomal RNA
Source: RNAcentral